This is a long non-coding RNA of Oncorhynchus tshawytscha (Chinook salmon), 1158 nucleotides long. The record is from Ensembl. NCBI's taxonomy places the organism in Eukaryota, Metazoa, Chordata, Actinopteri, Salmoniformes, Salmonidae.
UUCAGAAUGGUUGAUAUGAUUCUGGUUCUAUUAAACACAAAUGUUCUGAUUCGGAAUGGUUGAUAUGAUUCUGGUUCUAUUAAACACAAAUGUUCUGAUUCAGAAUGGUUGAUAUGAUUCUGGUUCUAUUAAACACAAAUGUUCUGAUUCGGAAUGGUUGAUAUGAUUCUGGUUCUAUUAAACACAAAUGUUCUGAUUCAGAAUGGUUGAUAUGAUUCUGGUUCUAUAAAACACAUCUGUUCUGAUUCGGAAUGGCUGAUAUGAUUCUGGUUCUAUUAAACACAUCUGUUCUGAUUCAGAAUGGUUGAUAUGAUUCUGGUUCUAUUAAACACAUCUGUUCUGAUUCAGAAUGGUUGAUAUGAUUCUGGUUCUAUUAAACACAAAUGUUCUGAUUCAGAAUGGUUGAUAUGAUUCUGGUUCUAUUAAACACAUCUGUUCUGAUUCAGAAUGGUUGAUAUGAUUCUGGUUCUAUUAAACACAAAUGUUCUGAUUCGGAAUGGUUGAUAUGAUUCUGGUUCUAUUAAACACAUCUGUUCUGAUUCAGAAUGGUUGAUAUGAUUCUGGUUCUAUUAAACACAAAUGUUCUGAUUCGGAAUGGUUGAUAUGAUUCUGGUUCUAUAAAACACAUCUGUUCUGAUUCAGAAUGGUUGAUAUGAUUCUGGUUCUAUUAAACACAUCUGUUCUGAUUCGGAAUGGUUGAUAUGAUUCUGGUUCUAUUAAACACAUCUGUUCUGAUUCAGAAUGGUUGAUAUGAUUCUGGUUCUAUUAAACACAAAUGUUCUGAUUCGGAAUGGUUGAUAUGAUUCUGGUUCUAUUAAACACAAAUGUUCUGAUUCAGAAUGGUUGAUAUGAUUCUGGUUCUAUUAAACACAAAUGUUCUGAUUCAGAAUGGUUGAUAUGAUUCUGGUUCUAUUAAACACAAAUGUUCUGAUUCGGAAUGGUUGAUAUGAUUCUGGUUCUAUAAAACACAUCUGUUCUGAUUCGGAAUGGCUGAUAUGAUUCUGGUUCUAUUAAACACAUCUGUUCUGAUUCAGAAUGGUUGAUAUGAUUCUGGUUCUAUAAAACACAUCUGUUCUGAUUCAGAAUGGUUGAUAUGAUUCUGGUUCUAUUAAACACAAAUGUUCUGAUUCGGAAUGGUUGAUAUGAUUCUGGUUCUAU